GUUGCACUGUGCUAUGAACUGGAAGCAGGUGGGAAACUGCGCGASAAGGGUGAGAGCCCCGUACAGGCAAAGAAUACAGGCAUAGUGGUAUCCUGAGUACCGCGGGACCGGAGAAAUCCUGUGGGAAUCCGCCAGCACCAUCUGGCAAGGCUAAAUACUCCUGAGAGACCGAUAGUGGACCAGUACCGUGAGGGAAAGGUGAAAAGAACCCCGAACAGGGGAGUGAAAAGAACCUGAAACCGUGUGCUUACAAGCGGUCGGAGCGGAGCGAUUCCGUGACGGCGUGCCUUUUGCAUAAUGAGCCUACGAGUUACUCUUGUCCGGCAAGGUUAAUGGCUUAAGGCCAGGAGCCGAAGCGAAAGCGAGUCUGAACAGGGCGCAGAGUCGGACGAGGUAGACGCGAAACCUUGUGAUCUACCCUUGGGCAGGUUGAAGGUGCGGUAACACGUACUGGAGGACCGAACCGAUAAACGUUGAAAAGUUUCCGGAUGACCUGAGGGUAGGGGUGAAAGGCCAAUCAAACUGGGAAAUAGCUCGUACUCCCCGAAAUGUUUUUAGGAACAGCGUCGGCAUGGAGUCUAGCAGAGGUAGAGCUACCGAUUGGGUGCGGGGGAGUCAAAUCCUACCAAAUCCAGACGAACUCCGAAUGCUGCUAGAUAUGGCCGGCAGUGAGGCUUUGGGUGCUAAGGUCCAAGGCCGAGAGGGAAAGAACCCAGACCAUCAGCUAAGGUCCCCAAAUCCGUUCUAAGUUGAACUAACGAGGUCCGGUUGCCCAGACAGCUAGGAUGUUGGCUUGGAAGCAGCCAUUCAUUUAAAGAGUGCGUAACAGCUCACUAGUCGAGCGGCCGGGCGUGGAUAAUAAACGGGCAUCAAGAACGGUACCGAAGCUAUGGAUUGCAACCUYUGGUUGCACUGGUAGGGGAGCAUUCCAUCGGGGGCGAAUCCGCAGGGUGACCUGUGGUGGACCUGAUGGAAAAGCAAAUGUAGGCAUAAGUAACGAUAAGGCGGGUGAGAAACCCGCCCACCGAAAGACCAAGGUUUCCUGAUCAACGCUAAUCGGAUCAGGGUCAGUCGGGACCUAAGGCGCAUCCGAAGGGAGGCAGCCGAUGGCCAACGGGUUAAUAUUCCCGUACUGUUGAUGACUGCGAUGUGGUGACGGAGUAGUGACACUGCCGCGAACUGACGGAAUAGUUCGUUGAAGGGCAAAGGUAUUGGACCGGUAGGCAAAUCCGCCGGUACAGCCGAAGCCCGAUAGUACAGCAAACCCUCGGGGGCGCUGAUAGCGCAGGUAAGCAGACUUCCAAGAAAACCCGCUAAGCUCCAGGUCAUCAAGACCCGUACCGCAAACCGACACAGGUGGUCGAGGAGAGGAUCCUAAGGUGCUCGAGUGAAUCAUGGCUAAGGAACUCGGCAAAAUGGCCCUGUAACUUCGGGAGAAGGGGCGCUUCCUCCACCUCCGGGUGGAGAAGCCGCAGUGAAAAGGCCCAGGCGACUGUUUAGCAAAAACAUAUGGCUUUGCGAAAUCGAAAGAUGAGGUAUAAGGCCUGACACCUGCCCGGUGCUGGAAGGUUAAGAGGGGAUGUCAUCCKCMRGGAGAAGCAUUGAAUCGAAGCCCCAGUAAACGGCGGCCGUAACUAUAACGGUCCUAAGGUAGCGAAAUUCCUUGUCGGGUAAGUUCCGACCUGCACGAAUGGUGUAACGAUCUGGGCGCUGUCUCAGCCAUGAGCUCGGUGAAAUUGUGGUAUCGGUGAAGACGCCGGUUACCCGCAACGGGACGGAAAGACCCCAUGAACCUUCACUAUAGCUUAACAUUGAAAUUGGGUACAGGAUGUGUAGGAUAGGCGGGAGUAGUCGAAGCGGUUUCGCCAGGAAUCGCGGAUACGCCCUUGAAAUACCGCCCUUUCUGUAUUCGGUUUCUAAUCCCGGCAUCCGGGAGACAUUGUUUGGUGGGUAGUUUGACUGGGGUGGUCGCCUCCAAAAAGGUAACGGAGGCUUUCAAAGGUAAGCUCAGUACGCUUGGUAACCGUACGAGGAGUGCAAUGGCAUAAGCUUGCUUGACUGUGAGACCUACAAGUCGACCAGGGUCGAAAGACGGACAUAGUGAUCCGGUGGUUCUGUAUGGAAGGGCCAUCGCUCAAAGGAUAAAAGGUACUCUGGGGAUAACAGGCUGAUCUCCCCCAAGAGCUCAUAUCGACGGGGAGGUUUGGCACCUCGAUGUCGGCUCGUCACAUCCUGGGGCUGGAGAAGGUCCCAAGGGUUGGGCUGUUGUGGGCGCUGGAAGUUUGAGUGGAUCUGACCUUAGUACGAGAGGACCGGGUUGGACGGACCGCUGGUGAACCUGUUAUGCCGCCAGGUGUACGGCAGGGUAGCUACGUCCGGGAUAGAUAAGCGCUGAAAGCAUCUAAGUGCGAAACUAGCCACGAGAUGAGACUUCCUCAUAAGGGUCGUCGGAGAUUACGACGUCGAUAGGCCACAGGUGUAAAGGUUGAGAGACCAAAGCCGAGUGGUACUAAUAGCCCGAAGCUUUCCAAU
Molecule: ribosomal RNA, 2532 nt
Filed under: Sphingobacterium sp. 1.A.5
Lineage: Bacteria; Pseudomonadati; Bacteroidota; Sphingobacteriia; Sphingobacteriales; Sphingobacteriaceae
Description: bacterial LSU rRNA
Source: RNAcentral